This 411-nucleotide ribosomal RNA is filed under the name uncultured prokaryote. Its description in RNAcentral is "bacterial SSU rRNA". It matches the Rfam family "Bacterial small subunit ribosomal RNA", at positions 355 to 774 of the family's 1533-position model. The record is from RNAcentral.
UGGGGAAUAUUGCACAAUGGGCGAAAGCCUGAUGCAGCGACGCCGCGUGGGGGAUGACGGCCUUCGGGUUGUAAACCUCUUUCGUCAGGGAAGAAGCCUUUUGGGGUGACGGUACCUGGAGAAGAAGCACCGGCUAACUACGUGCCAGCAGCCGCGGUAAUACGUAGGGUGCGAGCGUUGUCCGGAAUUAUUGGGCGUAAAGAGCUUGUAGGCGGUUUGUCGCGUCUGCGGUGAAAACUCACAGCUUAACUGUGGGCGUGCCGUGGGUACGGGCAGACUAGAGUGUGGUAGGGGAGACUGGAAUUCCUGGUGUAGCGGUGAAAUGCGCAGAUAUCAGGAGGAACACCGAUGGCGAAGGCAGGUCUCUGGGCCAUAACUGACGCUGAGAAGCGAAAGCAUGGGGAGCGAACA